This is a long non-coding RNA of Cornus florida, 1267 nucleotides long. RefSeq lists it as uncharacterized. NCBI's taxonomy places the organism in Eukaryota, Viridiplantae, Streptophyta, Magnoliopsida, Cornales, Cornaceae. The record is from RefSeq and is a predicted model, not a curated record. The transcript is spliced from 3 exons.
UACAUACGAAACGAGUGUGUUUUGGCUCGAAAGACGCUAUCCAACCGAAGCUCGCCUAGAGAGAAGGCGUAGAGAGGGGGAGAGAAAACCUAACCCUAGUUAAAGGUCCAGCAAUGGCAUUGCUCGGAGGAUUGAAUCUCAGGAAAUGUUCUUCCUAGAAGAUUUAAACGAUAAUUUUAGUGAAGCGAAUCUGAUUGGGAAAACCCAAUUUGGCAGUGUUCGGAGGAAAGACUCAACAAGGUCAAGAUGUGAUUGUGAAGAUUUGGGAAGAUGUAGGAAUCUUUUUUGUUGGCAAGAAUGCAAAUCUCACCCAAUAUAUGGCAGAAUGUACUUUUCUAAAAGAGCCAAGUUGAUGGGAUGCUUCAGUGGAGAUAGUCUUUUGGGUGCUGUUUAUGACCUUAAACCAUUGGAUACGGUGCGCCAUCUCAUUGUCAAAGGUAGAUUUUUUUUAAUUUUUUGUUACAAUGAGAUUUUAUCUUAGCUAUGUCAAUUUGUUGUGUAUACAGAUCAAUCUUUUCAGUUUAUGUUUGGAGCAUUUUCGCGGGGGCAAACGAAUGCUUGCAAAAUAACAUCUAUAAUCGCAAUACCUACUAAUUAUGCUGUAACUUUGCCUUGCAGUCCACACCCUAUUAAUCUAAACUGGGUCUUAAGCUGAUCAGAUUAGCAGUUCAUUUGUUUAAUUUUGCACCUUAUUAGAUAUAUUUCUUUCUAAAUCUAUUUAUUCUUUGAAUAAGAAAAUUUCUGCUUCCUUUGGAGUUGCUGCAACUAAUACAAGCCGUGGUUGUUAUUGGUUGCAGGAAUGCAUAAUUAAGGCAGUUUCUUGGUUUCUGUUAUUUAUCAACAAAUUUUUUUUUUUUUAGGAUGCAUAUAAUUUUUCCAGGCUCCAAAGAAUCAAGGUGGCAAUUGGAUUUGCACGCAGGCUUGAGUUUUUGCAUGGUCAAUCACAAUAUUACGUUGUUCGCAAUAUUGAUACUGCACAUAUAAUGCUUUGUGAUACCCCUUAAUUCUAGAGCCACGGGUGAUCUAGUCCGAGCACAGAAUACAAAGGAUAUCAAACAAUUAAUAUUUAAACAAGCAUUUGAAUACAAAAAGAAUAAUAAAGAAUAAAUAAAUAAUAAGCUGAAGGAAACUAAAUAAUAAAUCCCUAUUUUAAAAUCCUCAAAUAAAUAAUAAUUAAAAAUCCAAUAAUAAAAUCCUCCAAUCUUCGGAUACUAGUAACUAAUUAAACUACAACUCGGGAAUCCAUCCUGUGGACCCCUAAUAAUAU